CAGGGAGACAACAAUUAGAUUGUGAUGUCUAGGUAUUUUAUUCUUAGGCCGCAAUCCUGUCACCUUAAGGUCGAUCGGUACCUCAGGUUUUUGAAUUAAUUUAUAAUUAAUUCUUUGAUUUCAGUUCCUAAACUUGUCUAGGUCACACCCAACAAGGGUUUCUCCUGGGCCAUUAGCUCAGGUGGUUAGAGCGCACCCCUGAUAAGGGUGAGGUCCCUGGUUCAAGUCCAGGAUGGCCCAUUCGUUGUUGGGGGUAUAGCUCAGUUGGUAGAGCGCCUGCUUUGCAAGCAGGAUGUCAGCGGUUCGAGUCCGCUUACCUCCACUGAAACCUACCCUGGUAACUAAAUCCGGAGAAAAUUUGUUGAUGUGACUUAGAUCUGUCUACUAGAAAAGAACCUAGCUUCUUAUCAUCUUUUAGAGUUGAUAAUAUGCUGGGCUCACAUGGAUCAUUUCCAUGAGAAUUCAGUAGAACCUUGAAAACUGCAUAGAUUAGAAAGAAUAAAGCAUCUCAUGGAUGCAUAAUUUUAUUUUUUAUAGUUUAGUUUUUACUAAAUUAUAUAGAUAAAAUUCAUGUUUAAUUCUUGAGUAAAAGCCGAGCACAAUUGAUUUUGUGAUUGUAUUUAA
RNAcentral lists this transfer RNA (624 nucleotides) under uncultured Prochlorococcus sp. RNAcentral's name for it is "partial 16S-23S ribosomal RNA intergenic spacer". The stretch from base 250 to 322 matches the Rfam family "tRNA". Lineage: Bacteria; Bacillati; Cyanobacteriota; Cyanophyceae; Synechococcales; Prochlorococcaceae. The record is from RNAcentral.